This 355-nucleotide long non-coding RNA is filed under the name Chinchilla lanigera (long-tailed chinchilla). RNAcentral's name for it is "lncRNA (ENSCLAG00000026167.1)". Lineage: Eukaryota; Metazoa; Chordata; Mammalia; Rodentia; Chinchillidae. The record is from RNAcentral.
UAACAACUGAUUCCCCAGAGGCUAUCAUAGACUAUUAAUUGGUCUAUCCUUUUUUUAGGUUUUUUGUCUCUCCACACUGCUUUCUUCACACUUGUCAAAAGGAUCUUUUGAAAUGAAAUAUUCUGAAGCUUUCCCGUCAAGAUGAGUUUAAAAUGCAAUGGCCAGAAGACAAGGAAAUGUCACUAGAAAUACAUGGACAUGGACUCCUGGGCUGCUGCUGAUGACUGUGAUCUUUUGGGGUCAGCAAGGGAGUGGGCAAGGCCAAGUAAUCCAGCCAGCAGGAGUUUGGAAUCCUCAGGAAGAACAAAGACUUCUUAUCUGCACAAUGGUAGCAUUCAGAAGAGUUGGAAGUUAG